This is a long non-coding RNA of Dunckerocampus dactyliophorus (ringed pipefish), 1365 nucleotides long. RefSeq lists it as uncharacterized. The record is from RefSeq and is a predicted model, not a curated record. Lineage: Eukaryota; Metazoa; Chordata; Actinopteri; Syngnathiformes; Syngnathidae. The transcript has 3 exons.
UUCAAUUAGGACUUUCCAGUCAAAAAUCAUUGAGCUGAGAGGCUAAAGUAGCAAGCAGCGGACACGAUAGUGUGAAUGAUAGUGUUCUUACUAUUCAUUCCCUAACAACAAGUUAUUAACUUACUAACUCCCUCAAAACUACUCGUAAUUAUAAGGAGAAAUGGAGCAUUUUCGAACAAAGUGAUGGCUACCUGUUACUUUCGUAAAUAUGGCGUCACGUGACGCCCAGCCAGGAUGUAUUUUUCACGCCGCGGGGUCUAAAGAGUCAAGUGCGCAGGUGCGAAGGAGGACACAACCGGAAUCGGGAAGACUAGCUUUCAAAUAAAAGGGUGAGAGGAACGCCAAAUAACUGGACCAAACAUACAAAUUAUGUUUGGAAAUACUUUUCAGAAGAAGAAUAUGUACAUAUAUAGAGAGAACGUGGUUGUCCGAAGUCCCCGAGGGGACAUGGAGAAAAUAUAUUGCCGAAUAAGGUACAGGAGACACUUCCGGUCACAGAUUAAGUCCACAUUGCGAAAGUCGGGUGGAAAUGCGUCAUUCAUCUUCAACAUUUUCCAUCCAUUCCUGUACAAAUGUAGAGGUAUAAAGGGAUACUGUAACUAUAGCAACACGUUUUCAAUUACGUGAUGGUUAUUCUGUUUGUCUUUUGAAAAUAAAAUACGAACGUCCAGUCCCAGCUAGUGUUGCUGGAAACACGUCUCUUUGAGUACUGGUACUGGUACGUUAGUACACUGAUUAGCCAUACGUGGGAUUCUUUCACUUGUGUGCACUGCUUGUCCUACAAGGAAACACUCGCAAACUUGAACAAUGUGUUGCUCUUAAUUUGAAGUCUCUACGCAAACAUCCGCUGUAAAAACGGAAGUAGCGGCUGUGCAACGCUCUUAACGGAAACCAACACUUUUUCCAGAUAACACAAAACAGUUUUGCCUUAUCUCUCAAAAAUCCGUCUUUUUAACCCGUCAGUUUUGUCGUGUGCUCCGAAGUGUUGUGUGUGUGUUUUCCGACUGCGUUUUCGGAUAAUUAUUUUAAGUAUGCCAACGGAAGUGCUCACGAUGACCUGUAGUAAAAGUUGUUAUUCCAGCACGUCUAAAUCAUGUCGGCGGUGGUGAAAGAUUCUUCUGUCAUGACAACAGAAAUCCUGGCCAGAGAGACCCAAUGAGGGAAAAUAACACACAGAAAACCUGUUUACCACCUUCUAAGGCGCCACCCUGGACGGUGCACUUUGUCAAUUCCGAUCAAUAUGCGGAGAGGAUGGCGUGUCGGUGGGAUCUGCUGUCAGAGGGCGACACGGCAAAGAUGAAUCCGUGCACAGGUGAGCGCCACACUCCCCAUUCUAAGAAAAGCUACGACCUUUGAUAAAAUGCU